This is a long non-coding RNA of Micropterus dolomieu (smallmouth bass), 2601 nucleotides long. RefSeq lists it as uncharacterized. The record is from RefSeq and is a predicted model, not a curated record. The transcript is spliced from 2 exons. Lineage: Eukaryota; Metazoa; Chordata; Actinopteri; Centrarchiformes; Centrarchidae.
GUCUGAAAUAAACUACAAAAUUCCAUUUGUUUUUUAUUUUUUCUGUUUUUCUUUGGGACAAAAGACAUAUGGUAAAGAAUCACAAAAACAUAGAAUUAUUGGUGAAUAAAUUCUGUUUCCUAUUCAGUUUGAGGCAAUUACAACAGGUAGAAAAGUGAUUUUUUUAAGGAUAAAAAGACAAUGAAGAAAGUGUCAUUUUAAACAUAAGCAUUUGAAAGCGUCAUCCGUGUGGAAGGCAGGAUCAGAAAGUAAGGGAAGGCAAAGGAAGUAUGCCAAAUAAAUGCUUACAAUUAGGGUGAAGGAAAAUGUGAAGCAUAGAGAGACAUACAUUAGAGAUGAGAGGUUAUGUGUUGGAGUAAAAACUGGUAAGCUGAGUGGGAAACAGCUCCUAAAAUCCUUCUGCCAGUUGUAAAAUUUAUGACAGAAAAAGAUAAAACAUCUAUGGGACAAUUUGAUAAGUGGGUUGAAAUGUGUUAAAUGUAAGUUUUAGUUCAAAUAUAUAUAUAUUUGGACCAGCUAAAGACAUGUUCGAAGAGAAAAGAAAGGAGAGAUGCAGAAGAGCAUGCAGCCUUGUCCAGAGGAAAAAAAUAAAAUAAAAUAAAGCUGAAACCUACCAUUUAAGGCAGAUUGCUAUAUCAACUAGAAUUAAGGGAAAGUACAAAGACUUAAAACAGAACAUUUGACUAGAUAAAAUAAGGAUAAAAGGAAACUAUUAAAAAGACACCAUAAGAACAAACUAACACAUUAUCUCUUCUUUAACUGAGGUACACAAGUCAUGGAAUCCAUUCCAGCUGAUCCAGUCCUGGACUCCGCUCCUCCUCCUCCAAUAUGCUCCAGUCUGAGAUCCAGCCCAGGAUGAAGACUAUGCUGAGGUUAAAACUGCUGAAACAUGACGCCAUAAGCCAUAGAGAUGAACUAAUGCAACAUUAAAGACCUACAGAAGCACUGUUCUGGUCCGGUAACAGUAAUGCAACACAUUGUAUUGCCCAGUCAUGGAAAUGCCAAUUAUAAAAGGAAUAUUUGGUAUUUGGAACAUUGUUGAAGCAAUGGGGCACGUGACAGCCUCACAUGCAAUUGGAGCAGUUUGGACCGUUUAUCAAAGGAUGCCAUAAUGACUUAACAAAGACAGCUGAGUAGCAAACCAGCUCAAACAACACCUCCAUUUUGGACACCUGCAAGAUUUCUACAAUCUCAACAAAAUACUUCACUCUAGCUUCACAAGAAAGUAGGCUGGAGCACAGAAUGGACACAGUACAGCGAUGUCAUCACUGGAUAAUUGUCGCCUGUGUGAUGCAGGCCAAUCACAACAACAUGUUUGCAUUUAAGAACACAUCAUGUAGAGCUCUCCAAGUUCACAUGAUCAUCACCUUAUGGUCACAGCGGUCUGAAAUAAAGUUCAUCGGAAAAGAACAUGUUCUGAGCCGGACAAGGCCAGAAACUGCUGUUGGAAUAAAGAUGCCGAAUUUCACAGCAUCUUACUGACAGACAAGAGGACCUGCAAGCUGAAGAUUUACACAAAGAGGACAAAAGUGAGAAAAUAGCCAUCAAAAGGGGCUGAAGAACUCUGUUCUAAGCCAUCACAGUACAAGAAAAUGUACAGUACAGUGGACAAAAGUGGACAUUGGUACACAGAGAUUGUCUGGACAGAUCCAAAGCAGAUCCAAAUGGACUGAGCUGGAGGGGGCGGGACGGACGCCAGUGACAGGAAACAGCUGGGACACACACAGACUGGCAGGUUAAAGAGGCCCUACCCUCUCCAGCGACAGAACCACUGCACAGUCUCCUGCCAGAAGAUUUUGUGGUGGUUAAGGACUUCAGAAGAAAGCACUGGAUGGCGCAGAGGUGGAAAGGUGCUCCUGACAACAUACACAGCGGUAAAAGUGGCUGAAAGAGCUACGUAGAUUCACGCCAGCCACUGCAGGAAGGUGCCUGCACCACUACAACAAUAGAUCAACAAGUGUGCACAAUCAGCAACUGAACCACUGUUUUCCCUGAUCUUGUGUUGUGAGUGAAGGAGGGAUUGGGAACGCUUAGGCACCCUUUGUCUCGGACUCACAGGCUGUUAGAUGGCAAACAUCAGCACAAGGGAGCUAGUGGGAAAACUCCUGGUCUCACCACUGCUGAUUUAAGUGACGCCAUCAAAACUUAAGAGUGAGUAGCAUGCUUGUCUCAGGAAGGAGACAUCCUUGGGAUCCAGUCAGACACCCAAAUAUGUGUGGGCCUAGGAGGAGCAACACAGAUGUUUGCUGCCAUUGCAAUAACAUGAACAGUGCCUCUGUUGCAGUUCUUAGAUCACAAGCAUGAUGCACAAAAGCCACCACAACAGAUCACCACAGUGAACUACAGGCAUUGACAUCAAAUAGCAGUGUUAGAGGCAAGAGAAGCACCCAAAGAGGCUGGGAUGCUUGGCUAAUGUUUAAUAACUCCUGUUGUAUGUUUGUGCCCAACAAUGCAGCUCCAGAUGGUUCGGUGACCCGAGUGCUGGAAGGACUGCGUUCCAUACGAGAAGAACUUGCAGAGAACUCUGAAGUGGACACUAACAUGUUCGACUGGUCUGAUUCUGUAUUUGCUAAAUAAAAAGCCUUAGUGAUGCCCAUACUA